CAGCAUGCUGCACUGCACCCAGCAUGCUGCACCGUGCCCGGCAUGCUUCACUGCACAUGGCACACUGCACUGCACCCAGCAUGCUACACUCUACCCAGCAUGCUGCACUGCACAUGGCAUGCACAUGGCACACCGCAUCAUGCCUGGCAUGCUGCACUGCACGUGGCAUGCUGCACUGCGCCCUGCACACUGCACACGAUGCUCUGCGCUGCCCAAAGCGAAGCGGACGUUGCAGUGCACAUAGUGCAGGGCGCACCGCACUGCGCAGCACCCUCACACCGCGUGUGGCCCGCUGCGCUGGGCUGCCCGCACUGCACACUGUGAGGCCUGCGGAGGCCGGGCUCAGCGCUGGGAGACACAGCCCCAGGCAGGGCGCGGGCUUCGCCCCGCAGGGGCGGCACUCUGGGGCGGCGCUGGGGGAACCAGCCCGGGUGGCCGUGGGCCACGUCCCCGCUGCGCAGCGGUGCCGACUGCCUCGGGGCAUCGCAGCUCGGCACCAGCCCCGGCCGGUUCAGCGGGUGCCGCGCGGCUGGYGCAUCUCUCCCGGGAGCCAGGCUCUGCUGCUGCAGGGCCAGCCCGGCUCUUGCCAUCAGGAUGUGCCGGCCCCGCGGGUGGUCCUGGCUCUGCCCCAGGGCUCUCAGCACCCCGCGCUUGUCCCGGGAGCCCCCAGCCCCGCGCUGUGCCCGAGGGGGGCAACAUCCCAUGGGAGGGCCGUGCAUGAGGGUUGCAAUGCUCCAUGCAAGGGCCGUGCGCAGGGGUUGCAACGUCCUGCACAAGGGCCGUGCACGAGGGCUGCGACACCCCCUGCAAGGGCCGUGCACGAGGGCUGCGACACCCUGUGCAGGCACCGCGCAGGGGGUUUGCAGCGCCCCGUGUCAGAGCCGCAGAAAGCCAGGAGCAGGGAAGAGGCAGCUCCGCAACUCCUGGCCUUGCCCAAAGGGGACCCCGGCAGGGUGGGACAGGGCGUCCGUGGCCCCGUGGAUUCCCCCCUCCCGCCCCGGCGGGGCAGUUCCGGGCAUCCGCAGGCGCCGGCCGCAGCGGGUCCCGGGGCCCCACGGGGAYGGCAGUGGUGCAGCCAGGCCCUGCCGUGCCGUGGGGAGCCCGGCGCAGCGCGGCAGCCCUGUCCCAGCCGCCCCGCGUGCCGCGGCGGGCGCUGACCCUGCAUUUUUCCAGCUGGCCACUGNNNNNNNNNNNNNNNNNNNNNNNNNNNNNNNNNNNNNNNNN
RNAcentral lists this long non-coding RNA (1224 nucleotides) under Apteryx haastii (Great spotted kiwi). RNAcentral describes it as "lncRNA (ENSAHAG00000000735.1)". The record is from RNAcentral. Lineage: Eukaryota; Metazoa; Chordata; Aves; Apterygiformes; Apterygidae.